This 539-nucleotide ribosomal RNA is filed under the name Salmonella enterica subsp. enterica serovar Adjame. RNAcentral's name for it is "bacterial SSU rRNA". It matches the Rfam family "Bacterial small subunit ribosomal RNA", at positions 993 to 1532 of the family's 1533-position model. The record is from RNAcentral. Lineage: Bacteria; Pseudomonadati; Pseudomonadota; Gammaproteobacteria; Enterobacterales; Enterobacteriaceae.
GAACUUUCCAGAGAUGGAUUGGUGCCUUCGGGAACUGUGAGACAGGUGCUGCAUGGCUGUCGUCAGCUCGUGUUGUGAAAUGUUGGGUUAAGUCCCGCAACGAGCGCAACCCUUAUCCUUUGUUGCCAGCGGUUAGGCCGGGAACUCAAAGGAGACUGCCAGUGAUAAACUGGAGGAAGGUGGGGAUGACGUCAAGUCAUCAUGGCCCUUACGACCAGGGCUACACACGUGCUACAAUGGCGCAUACAAAGAGAAGCGACCUCGCGAGAGCAAGCGGACCUCAUAAAGUGCGUCGUAGUCCGGAUUGGAGUCUGCAACUCGACUCCAUGAAGUCGGAAUCGCUAGUAAUCGUGGAUCAGAAUGCCACGGUGAAUACGUUCCCGGGCCUUGUACACACCGCCCGUCACACCAUGGGAGUGGGUUGCAAAAGAAGUAGGUAGCUUAACCUUCGGGAGGGCGCUUACCACUUUGUGAUUCAUGACUGGGGUGAAGUCGUAACAAGGUAACCGUAGGGGAACCUGCGGUUGGAUCACCUCCUU